UUGCAAUCUGCUAUCUGUCAUAAAUAAAUAGGCUGGGAAUUAGUCUGAUUGCAUUGUUGCAAUGCUUGGCAUCCUCUUCUUCCUGCAGAACCACUACUUGGCUACAAUGAGGUAGAACUGUGGUCGUCCGAAGGUGAUGGGUGCCUGUGCUGAUGGCCAUAAGGUGGUCAGGGAGAGAUGAUUGGCUGUCCGAGUGCUGAUCUUUGCCUACGAAGAUUCAGAAAAGGUCCAUUGUUCCCCUGCAAGGAGCUGAGAGUGAACUUUACUUUCUUGUGAGGACUUUGAGCCCAGGCAGACCAAGGAAUCAUCUGCCUGUGAUACAGACUGUAAGACCAUCUUGGAGUCCAAUAUUUCCACCAAAGCAUGAUGCGUGCUGCUUUUGCUUGCUCUUCUACAAUAGUCAUUAAUUAAAUUUGGGAUCUACAUAAAUUAAAGUUCUGUACACGCCAAAAAUUUCACAUAAGUUCAGAUGACUUGGGAACCUACAAUUCAGAGAGGCAAGUUCCCAGUUCCUGCCCACGAGUCCCACAGGAUGCUGGUCUUCACACUGAGGCAUGUGACUGCUUCUCCAGUUUGGCCGUAUGAGAUGUGCCUGAGCUCACAUAAAACAUGAGAGCUGGAACUGGGUGCACUUCUUCAAUGUCCCAUGCUAAUAUCUGUCAUCACCAUGCUGUUCUCACCUCCUGUGUGGCAAUAACAAUGUGUUUUUUCAGCAGUUAGUCUUGCCUGCAUUUGCAAGCAUGAAGCCAGAAGAAAAGCAGUCCAUUUAAAUGGAAAGUUUCAGUCAAAAAAACCCUCUGCUAAUUCCUGCUGCUUCCCAAGCUGCUAAAAAAGGACUGUCGCAGCUUUUGCCAGCUGGGAAUUGGACUUAUCAACCCAGUGAAGUACAAGAAGUUGACUGUGCUCCUGUAGACCAUGGGAGAUGAGAUGGAACCUUCCCAGAGGCACACAUUCGCCACCCCUCUCCAUUCGGUUCAGUCGUUGGGUUUCUUUGCUGCUGGCACUGCAGAGCCGUGCAGAGGAGGUGCACAGGAGCUGACACCUGGCUUUCAGCUGCUCUUUUCCUCCUUGAGUCUGGAAAGCAAUGGGCUUCCUCUUGCUUUUAAAGCAGCGUGAUGGAGGCGAUGGCAUCACACACACACGUACAGGCAGAAUUCCGUCCAGCUGAGGGAGUGAUAGAGAUAAAGUACACGAGGUGCAAUUAAAUUCCAAGUACAGCAGCACUGCUGGAAGAAGAAAUCAUAAACCAGACUUACGAUGAACAACCUGGAUAGCAAUAUUUCGAAGCUGAGAUCGUUUUUGGACUCAUCAUCUUUGGAUGAACUUCUUAUAUUUAUAUAAUUAUGUGUCCUGAAACAAGACUGAAAAUAACCCUAGACUCAACUCAGAGCAGAUGGGUACUCUCACAGAUGGCAUGCACAAAAGCAGGACUCUGGACCACUUUUUCCUCUAUCUAAGCA
Molecule: long non-coding RNA, 1460 nt
Organism: Gallus gallus (chicken)
Lineage: Eukaryota; Metazoa; Chordata; Aves; Galliformes; Phasianidae
Exons: 5
Source: RefSeq, a predicted model, not a curated record